RNAcentral lists this long non-coding RNA (604 nucleotides) under Mytilus galloprovincialis (Mediterranean mussel). The record is from RNAcentral. Lineage: Eukaryota; Metazoa; Mollusca; Bivalvia; Mytilida; Mytilidae.
GGAACGUAAAUAAAAAUAAUGAAUUUAUCAUGUCAAAUCUGCAAUUUGAAUUUAAACUGAAAAAAAUUUUUUUUUAAAGUAUAUAUGAGGUUUAUAAUUCAAAACUGUUAAAAGAAAUAUUAAGGGUUUCCAUUUUCACUUAAACUACUACAUAACAAAAUAAUUUCUAGUAAAAUCUAUUUGGUGCCAUGAGUAAUUAUUCUAUUUCAAGGAUAUCAUGAUUUUUCAAGACCACAAAUAUUAAUUAACAAACUGAUAUGAUUGCAAAGUCUGUUCUUAUAAAAUCAUUAACUUAAGAACCGAUGAUUCUACCCCAUCCUCUGACAAUUUAAUCUAAAAAAAAUAAUUUAUUGUAUUUUACAUUUAAAUAAAAUUUAUUGAAAAUAAAAAACCAAAAGUUUGCUUACAAGCUAUUUAUUCACUUAGUCAAUUCAAAUAUGUAAUAAUACAUGUACCUUCAUUUGCUACUUUUAUAGAUGAGUGGUCAAAUUUCAGACAUUUUAUACUAGACAUUUCGGUUUCUUAGAUAUUUCCAAAUAAUGGAAAGACGUACUUUCUUUUUUGUCAUAAAAGACAAAUACAAGGGGAGUUUAGAAAUUAAAAA